GGUUAAGCGACUAAGCGUACACGGUGGAUGCCCUGGCAGUCAGAGGCGAUGAAGGACGUGCUAAUCUGCGAAAAGCGUCGGUAAGGUGAUAUGAACCGUUAUAGCCGGCGAUGUCCGAAUGGGGAAACCCAGUGCAAUUCGUUGCACUAUCGUUAACUGAAUACAUAGGUUAACGAGGCGAACCGGGGGAACUGAAACAUCUAAGUACCCCGAGGAAAAGAAAUCAACCGAGAUUCCCCCAGUAGCGGCGAGCGAACGGGGAGCAGCCCAGAGUCUGAAUCAGCUUGUGUGUUAGUGGAACGGUCUGGAAAGUCCGACGGUACAGGGUGAUAGUCCCGUACACCAAAAUGCACAGGCUGUGAACUCGAAGAGUAGGGCGGGACACGUGGUAUCCUGUCUGAAUAUGGGGGGACCAUCCUCCAAGGCUAAAUACUCCUGACUGACCGAUAGUGAACCAGUACCGUGAGGGAAAGGCGAAAAGAACCCCGGCGAGGGGAGUGAAAAAGAACCUGAAACCGUGUACGUACAAGCAGUGGGAGCACCUUCGGGUGUGACUGCGUACCUUUUGUAUAAUGGGUCAGCGACUUAUAUUCUGUAGCAAGGUUAACCGUAUAGGGGAGCCGAAGGGAAACCGAGUCUUAACUGGGCGUUAAGUUGCAGGGUAUAGACCCGAAACCCGGUGAUCUAGCCAUGGGCAGGUUGAAGGUUGGGUAACACUAACUGGAGGACCGAACCGACUAAUGUUGAAAAAUUAGCGGAUGACUUGUGGCUGGGGGUGAAAGGCCAAUCAAACCGGGAGAUAGCUGGUUCUCCCCGAAAGCUAUUUAGGUAGCGCCUCGUGAACUCAUCUUCGGGGGUAGAGCACUGUUUCGGCUAGGGGGUCAUCCCGACUUACCAACCCGAUGCAAACUACGAAUACCGAAGAAUGUUAUCACGGGAGACACACGGCGGGUGCUAACGUCCGUCG
RNAcentral lists this ribosomal RNA (967 nucleotides) under Mesorhizobium sp. Its description in RNAcentral is "partial 23S ribosomal RNA". It matches the Rfam family "Bacterial large subunit ribosomal RNA", at positions 1 to 1010 of the family's 2925-position model. Lineage: Bacteria; Pseudomonadati; Pseudomonadota; Alphaproteobacteria; Hyphomicrobiales; Phyllobacteriaceae. The record is from RNAcentral.